This 253-nucleotide ribosomal RNA is filed under the name uncultured bacterium. RNAcentral's name for it is "partial 16S ribosomal RNA". It matches the Rfam family "Bacterial small subunit ribosomal RNA", at positions 524 to 776 of the family's 1533-position model. The record is from RNAcentral.
UACGGAGGGAGCUAGCGUUGUUCGGAAUUACUGGGCGUAAAGCGUAUGCAGGCGGAUCGAUAAGUCGGGGGUGAAAUCCUGAGGCUCAACCUCAGAACUGCCUUCGAUACUGUCGAUCUUGAGUCCGGGAGAGGUUAGUGGAACUGCGAGUGUAGAGGUGGAAUUCGUAGAUAUUCGCAAGAACACCAGUGGCGAAGGCGGCUAACUGGCCCGGUACUGACGCUGAGAUACGAAAGCGUGGGGGGCAAACAGG